UGACACGGUGGUUUCAUUUUGCAAGC
Molecule: non-coding RNA, 26 nt
Filed under: Homo sapiens (human)
Lineage: Eukaryota; Metazoa; Chordata; Mammalia; Primates; Hominidae
Source: RNAcentral